GACGAACGCUGGCGGCGUGCUUAACACAUGCAAGUCGAACGGUAAGGCCCUUCGGGGUACACGAGUGGCGAACGGGUGAGUAACACGUGGGUGAUCUGCCCUGCACUUCGGGAUAAGCCUGGGAAACUGGGUCUAAUACCGGAUAGGACCCUGGGAUGCAUGUCCUGGGGUGGAAAGCUUUUGCGGUGUGGGAUGGGCCCGCGGCCCAUCAGGUUGUUGGGGGGGUGAGGGCAUACCGAGGCGACGAGGGGUAGGCGGCCUGGGAGGAUGACCGGCCACACUGGGACUGAGAGACGGCCCAGACUCCGACGGGAGGCAGCAGUGGGGAAUAUUGCACAAGGGGCGCAAGCCUGAUGCAGCGACGCUGCGUGAGGGAUGACGGCCUUCGGGUUGUAAACCUCUUUCAGCACCGACGAAGCGCAAGUGACGGUAGGUGCAGAAGAAGGACCGGCCAACUACGUGCCAGCAGCCGCCGUAA
Molecule: ribosomal RNA, 478 nt
Filed under: uncultured bacterium
Lineage: Bacteria
Description: partial 16S ribosomal RNA
Rfam family: Bacterial small subunit ribosomal RNA
Source: RNAcentral